AUUUGUUGUAACCUCCGCCAGAGAUGCCCAUUAACACCACUAAGUACCCCAUUUCCUGGAAGGCAUGUGGUUCCCCAUCAGAUAAGAAGAAAUGGCUGCAGGGAAGAUAAGGCAGCUGUACCAACAUCACCCUUAGUAUCUGGUCACUGUGCUAUUCUUUUUGCUGUGAUGUACCAGAAUUUAUCACCCUGUGAAACCACAGAAAUCCUGCUGGAACAAUUACAGAUCCAUGAAGGAUUCGGGUAAGC
This 248-nucleotide long non-coding RNA is filed under the name Crocodylus porosus (Australian saltwater crocodile). RNAcentral describes it as "lncRNA (ENSCPRG00005007097.1)". The record is from RNAcentral. Lineage: Eukaryota; Metazoa; Chordata; Crocodylia; Crocodylidae.